AAGACGGUCUUGCUGUCACUUAUAGAUGGAUCCGCGCUGCAUUAGCUAGUUGGUAAGGUAACGGCUUACCAAGGCAACGAUGCAUAGCCGACCUGAGAGGGUGAUCGGCCACACUGGAACUGAGACACGGUCCAGACUCCUACGGGAGGCAGCAGUAGGGAAUCUUCCGCAAUGGGCGAAAGCCUGACGGAGCAACGCCGCGUGAGUGAUGAAGGUCUUCGGAUCGUAAAACUCUGUUAUUAGGGAAGAACAUAUGUGUAAGUAACUGUGCACAUCUUGACGGUACCUAAUCAGAAAGCCACGGCUAACUACGUGCCAGCAGCCGCGGUAAUACGUAGGUGGCAAGCGUUAUCCGGAAUUAUUGGGCGUAAAGCGCGCGUAGGCGGUUUUUUAAGUCUGAUGUGAAAGCCCACGGCUCAACCGUGGAGGGUCAUUGGAAACUGGAAAACUUGAGUGCAGAAGAGGAAAGUGGAAUUCCAUGUGUAGCGGUGAAAUGCGCAGAGAUAUGGAGGAACACCAGUGGCGAAGGCGACUUUCUGGUCUGUAACUGACGCUGAUGUGCGAAAGCG
This 569-nucleotide ribosomal RNA is filed under the name Staphylococcus aureus. RNAcentral describes it as "bacterial SSU rRNA". It matches the Rfam family "Bacterial small subunit ribosomal RNA", at positions 202 to 761 of the family's 1533-position model. Lineage: Bacteria; Bacillati; Bacillota; Bacilli; Caryophanales; Staphylococcaceae. The record is from RNAcentral.